GACGAACGCUGGCGGCGUGCUUAACACAUGCAAGUCGAACGGAAAGGCCCUGCUUUUGUGUGGUGCUCGAGUGGCGAACGGGUGAGUAACACGUGAGUAACCUGCCCUUGACUUUGGGAUAACUUCAGGAAACUGGGGCUAAUACCGGAUAGGAGCUCCUGCUGCAUGGUGGGGGUUGGAAAGUUUCGGCGGUUGGGGAUGGACUCGCGGGUUAUCAGCUUGUUGGUGGGGGAGUGGCUUACCAAGGCUUUGACGGGUAGCCGGCCUGAGAGGGUGACCGGGGACCUUGGGACUGAGGUACGGCGCAGUCUGGUACGGGCGGCAGAGGGGGGGAAUAUUGCGCAAUGGGCGGGAGCGUGAUGAAGCAACGCCGCGUGCGGGAAGACGGCCUUCGGGUUGUAAACCGCUUUCGCCUGAGACGAAGCGUGAGUGACGGUAAUGGGUAAAGAAGCACCGGCUAACUACGUG
Molecule: ribosomal RNA, 468 nt
Filed under: uncultured bacterium
Lineage: Bacteria
Description: partial 16S ribosomal RNA
Rfam family: Bacterial small subunit ribosomal RNA
Source: RNAcentral